ACGGAGGAUGCGAGCGUUAUCCGGAUUUAUUGGGUUUAAAGGGUGCGUAGGUUGUUUUUUAAGUCAGCGGUGAAAGUUUGUGGCUCAACCAUAAAAUUGCCGUUGAAACUGGAAGACUUGAGUGUGUUUGAGGUAGGCGGAAUGCGUGGUGUAGCGGUGAAAUGCAUAGAUAUCACGCAGAACUCCGAUUGCGAAGGCAGCUUACUAAACCAUAACUGACACUGAAGCACGAAAGCGUGGGGAUCAAACAG
This 251-nucleotide ribosomal RNA is filed under the name uncultured bacterium. Its description in RNAcentral is "partial 16S ribosomal RNA". It matches the Rfam family "Bacterial small subunit ribosomal RNA", at positions 525 to 775 of the family's 1533-position model. The record is from RNAcentral.